This 253-nucleotide ribosomal RNA is filed under the name uncultured bacterium. Its description in RNAcentral is "partial 16S ribosomal RNA". It matches the Rfam family "Bacterial small subunit ribosomal RNA", at positions 524 to 776 of the family's 1533-position model. The record is from RNAcentral.
AACGUAGGUGGCAAGCGUUAUCCGGAUUUACUGGGCGUAAAGGGUGUGCAGGCGGGACUGCAAGUGGGGUAUGAAAUCUCCCAGCUUAACUGGGAUAGGUUAUGCCAGACUGCAGUUCUAGAGGACGAGAGAGGGGGGUGGAAUUCCGGGUGUAGUGGUGAAAUGCGUAGAGAUCCGGAGGAACCCCAGAGGCGAAGGCGGCCCCCUGGCUCGUAUCUGACGCUCAGCCACGAAAGCAUGGGGAGCGAACGGG